RNAcentral lists this ribosomal RNA (1540 nucleotides) under Staphylococcus argenteus. RNAcentral describes it as "16S ribosomal RNA". It matches the Rfam family "Bacterial small subunit ribosomal RNA". Lineage: Bacteria; Bacillati; Bacillota; Bacilli; Caryophanales; Staphylococcaceae. The record is from RNAcentral.
AGAGUUUGAUCCUGGCUCAGGAUGAACGCUGGCGGCGUGCCUAAUACAUGCAAGUCGAGCGAACGGACGAGAAGCUUGCUUCUCUGAUGUUAGCGGCGGACGGGUGAGUAACACGUGGAUAACCUACCUAUAAGACUGGGAUAACUUCGGGAAACCGGAGCUAAUACCGGAUAAUGUUUUGAACCGCAUGGUUCAAAAGUGAAAGACGGUCUUGCUGUCACUUAUAGAUGGAUCCGCGCUGCAUUAGCUAGUUGGUAAGGUAACGGCUUACCAAGGCAACGAUGCAUAGCCGACCUGAGAGGGUGAUCGGCCACACUGGAACUGAGACACGGUCCAGACUCCUACGGGAGGCAGCAGUAGGGAAUCUUCCGCAAUGGGCGAAAGCCUGACGGAGCAACGCCGCGUGAGUGAUGAAGGUCUUCGGAUCGUAAAACUCUGUUAUUAGGGAAGAACAUAUGUGUAAGUAACUGUGCACAUCUUGACGGUACCUAAUCAGAAAGCCACGGCUAACUACGUGCCAGCAGCCGCGGUAAUACGUAGGUGGCAAGCGUUAUCCGGAAUUAUUGGGCGUAAAGCGCGCGUAGGCGGUUUUUUAAGUCUGAUGUGAAAGCCCACGGCUCAACCGUGGAGGGUCAUUGGAAACUGGAAAACUUGAGUGCAGAAGAGGAAAGUGGAAUUCCAUGUGUAGCGGUGAAAUGCGCAGAGAUAUGGAGGAACACCAGUGGCGAAGGCGACUUUCUGGUCUGUAACUGACGCUGAUGUGCGAAAGCGUGGGGAUCAAACAGGAUUAGAUACCCUGGUAGUCCACGCCGUAAACGAUGAGUGCUAAGUGUUAGGGGGUUUCCGCCCCUUAGUGCUGCAGCUAACGCAUUAAGCACUCCGCCUGGGGAGUACGACCGCAAGGUUGAAACUCAAAGGAAUUGACGGGGACCCGCACAAGCGGUGGAGCAUGUGGUUUAAUUCGAAGCAACGCGAAGAACCUUACCAAAUCUUGACAUCCUUUGACAACUCUAGAGAUAGAGCCUUCCCCUUCGGGGGACAAAGUGACAGGUGGUGCAUGGUUGUCGUCAGCUCGUGUCGUGAGAUGUUGGGUUAAGUCCCGCAACGAGCGCAACCCUUAAGCUUAGUUGCCAUCAUUAAGCUGGGCACUCUAAGUUGACUGCCGGUGACAAACCGGAGGAAGGUGGGGAUGACGUCAAAUCAUCAUGCCCCUUAUGAUUUGGGCUACACACGUGCUACAAUGGACAAUACAAAGGGCAGCGAAACCGCGAGGUCAAGCAAAUCCCAUAAAGUUGUUCUCAGUUCGGAUUGUAGUCUGCAACUCGACUACAUGAAGCUGGAAUCGCUAGUAAUCGUAGAUCAGCAUGCUACGGUGAAUACGUUCCCGGGUCUUGUACACACCGCCCGUCACACCACGAGAGUUUGUAACACCCGAAGCCGGUGGAGUAACCUUUUAGGAGCUAGCCGUCGAAGGUGGGACAAAUGAUUGGGGUGAAGUCGUAACAAGGUAGCCGUAUCGGAAGGUGCGGCUGGAUCACCU